CACGGGGGGAGCAAGCGUUGUUCGGAAUCACUGGGCGUAAAGGGCGUGUAGGCGGUCGAGUAAGUGGGAUGUGAAAUCCCCCGGCUUACCCGGGGACCGGCAUCUCAAACUGCUUGGCUCGAGUACGGGAGAGGAUGAGGGAAUUCCUGGUGUAGCGGUGAAAUGCGUAGAUAUCAGGAGGAACACCGGUGGCGAAAGCGCUCAUCUGGCCCGAUACUGACGCUGAGGCGCGAAAGCUAGGGGAGCAAAC
This 250-nucleotide ribosomal RNA is filed under the name uncultured bacterium. RNAcentral's name for it is "partial 16S ribosomal RNA". It matches the Rfam family "Bacterial small subunit ribosomal RNA", at positions 524 to 773 of the family's 1533-position model. The record is from RNAcentral.